Molecule: non-coding RNA, 7398 nt
Organism: Callithrix jacchus (white-tufted-ear marmoset)
Lineage: Eukaryota; Metazoa; Chordata; Mammalia; Primates; Cebidae
Source: RefSeq, a predicted model, not a curated record
AGUCCGAGUGCAGCAUUUUUGACCGUACUUGCCUAUGAAGGUAAAUAGGCAAAUUGGAAUGCUUUUUAAGAAUUGAAAGGGAUUUAUUUAAAAUCAAAUCCUCACCCUGGGCUCCGAAUAUGUUCAGUCCACUUGUCUGAACUUCUGCAUUGGAGUAAGUUUACAUCACUGUCAUGGAAGUCAAAACUGAUGGCGUAAUACUAAAAACAAUGGUGGGAUCCCCCAUCCAGGAAGCGGUACAUGGUGUUCAUCACAUUAACUACUGUUCGGUGGAUGUGUGGAGCCAUACAGUUGUGGAAUUACCAAGAAAAAAAGGAUUUAAGGGCUUCAAAAUACCUUUUUAAAAACUUAACGAGUUAACCAGAAGAUUAAAAGAUCUUAUUCUCUUAAUCUUCCAGCUAGACUAUUUUUCCCUAAUGAGUAAGAUAUGUGACUGCUGAUUAUUUUUGUGUGUUAAGUGGUCGAACUGCUCCACCUGACAUCAGACAGCAGACCCUUAAAGAGAGCUAAUGCUCUUUCAAAGAUUUGCAACAGCAGACCCACAACAUGGUAAUCCAGGACUGAUAGAAUGGGUUCAGCAUAUGAAAAGGGUGAUGUCUAGUUAGAUAUUGAAGUCGUGAUGGAGAGGAGGAGAUUCUGAAGCAUUGAGGAUAAAUUUGUGGUUGUUGAGAAUGGCCCUUGCAUCUUGGAGUAAAGCCAAAAACUCUCUGUGCCUCUUUGCAGCUCCCACUUCCCUCUAAGACUCUUCCUUCCUGAUACUCAUCAUUCAUUUUGCGGACACUGCAGGAGGUGUCUGUGGUCCCAUUGGAGCUCUUGGCAAAUUGUAAUGCUCAGGACGUCACAGAUGUCACGCAAGGUCUUAGGGAGACCAGCCUUUCCCAUUCAAGUUCCCACAGCUCUUUCCCCAGCGGUCACCUUCCUCAGAAAUGGUCUUUAACACCGCCACCUCACCCCAUUUCCCCUCCACUCUUGGGAAGCAUAAGUCUAGCAGUGGAAUCAGGCCUGAAGAAAGGAGGCUGAAGAUAGGCCCAUGGCUUUGCUAAGUUAGCUUUUACAUCCUGAGUGGCUGCCUUAGAAAGUGUCCUUGCCCAGGUAGGCUGUGGCUUCUAGAUAAAGUCCUGCUGCUAAGCUGUGAAACAUGCCAAUUUAUAAAUUGCUAUCACGACUUUAGUUCUGCUCAUUUCAAAUGAAAUAGCUGAAUGCCGAGCGAGUGAAUUUGGGCAUCUCUAUUUCCAAGAUUUCUGGGGCAUUCAAGAGUCAUCUUCUAUCGAAGCUUUCAUGGUGCUGGUGUUCCCUUUCCUUUGGCCACUCAAGGCAGCCUAUUCGCUUUGGAUAAACUGUGAAAUCGUUAACCUUGUGAAUGUCCGUUUUCUCUAAGGCAGAGUGGGCUGAAACAAAACAUAACUGGAUUUAUUUUGAAAGUGGUGACUCCACAAAUAAAAACAGAUACCUAGUUUGCCUUGUAAAGGCCGAUUUACAAAUAGCAUUUCCGCGGUUCUUUUUUUUUUAAUGCCCCACAAGGCACUGCUUUGUUGGAAUUGCCAUUGGUGAGGAUCUCACUGAUACGGAAGGGGGCAUCCCUCGCUUGACAUUCUUCAGGGUCGCACUAGUGCCAUGCCCCCUUUGAAGUGGCCUCUAAGCAAACUCCAUCUUGCUAUAAUUUUCCUCUCCCUGGCUGUUAAUGCAACAGAGCUGUACUUUGAGUUUUUGAUAAUUGAUUCUGCUAAGGCAACUGGAGAGAUUGUUAAUUCAUCUCAAAAAAUCAGUGAUUCUGACCGAUGAAAAGAUUGAAGGAAAUGUCAGAAUAAAGCACUUGGGUUCGUGAAAUCCUUGCUUUUACAGUUAAGGUUUAUAGGCAGGUGUUAGCACUGUCAGCUGGAUUCAGCUGUGUAGAUUGGGGGUGAACACACUACAGUCUCUGGGCUGACUCUGACCCACUGCCUGAAUUUGUAAGUAGAAUUGUCCAUUUAUUCCCAUUCCUGUAACUGUGUGUGUGUAUUCGGUUAUUCCAAAAUAACAUGGCUGUUUGCGUGUUACCAGAAGAGUUGCCCAAUUGAGGUGGAGAUCAUUUAGCUCGCAAGACUGUACAUAUUUACUCUUUGGCCUUUUCCAGAAAAAAAAGUGCUGACUCCUACAUUAGGUAAUCCAGUUCGUUCAAAGUGCUAUCACCCUAACAUUCUCCAGAUUAGCCACAGCUUAGGUGAAAUUUAGGCAAAUCAGAUGCCCCAGGCCACAGGAAGAUUUGGCAACGCAUUGUGUGUAAUUGUUGCACCAGUGUCCUGUACCCCCUGUGCCCCUUGUCUCAACCUGCCCCUGCCGUUUUUUUUAGGGAGGUGCAAGGAUUAGAAUGUUGCCUCCUCAGAAACUAACACUCUUCUCUCCUUGACCUUUGUUUAACCAGCUUUCUGAACCUGAAGAACUUUGUAGAUUGAAAGCUGUAGCUUGUGGACCCCUCUCUGUGGAGAUCAGCAUCUCAGUAUCCAGGGGGAAGUCAUCUCUUCACCCAAAGCUUCUGCUAGCAGAUCAAGAGGCCUGGAACCCAGCAGUCCUGAAUGCUAACCAGUAGAGACAAGGGAGGAAUUCAUUUCUAUUUGUGUUCAACGUAGACUGAGCAGGAAGGGCCAGGUGUUUUAUGGCUCUUUGGAGUUAGCAGCUCGAUGGCUCUGAUUUGGUAAAAACGAUCGGAAAUGCCUUCAGCAUGGUGAUCAUUAUGUGCAAGUGUUGCGAAGGGUUAGGAAAGGGAAUUUUUUUUUUUUUCUUUAGGCGAGGGAAUUUCCCAUUGAGGAAGAUUUCUGCUUCGUUUUUAGACUCAGCUAUCAGUCAACUAAUUUGGCUGUGCAUGUAAAUACUUGAGUAUAAAAUGCUGCCCCCUGCUACCUGCAGGCUGUCAUGUUGCUCAUCAAAGGCAGGAUCCUUCUAAUGAGGGAUUAGCUGGAUGCCUAAAUGUGGGACCACCUACUCCGUUCACUGUCUUAAUUAGCUAGAUGUUUGUUAGAGCUCACGCAAAUUAUUCUCUGUAAGCAGACAGAUUUAAUAUCAUAUUGAAGGAGUGACAUCCAGGGUUUUGUCAGACAUCCAUUAAAUUUUUUUUUUUUUUAAUAUUUGAGAUGGGGUUUUACUAUGUUGCGCAGGGGUGGUGGUUGAACUCCUGGGCUCAAGUAAUCCUCCCACCUCAGCCUCCCAAAGUACUGAGAUUACUGGUGUGAGCCACCGUGCCUGGAUGCUGUUAGCAAGUAUGAACAAAUGAGAUAUUUUCUGUCUAAUCUUCAGUGGUAAUGGUAAUAAAACUUCUUAACGCUCAUUCCUAAUACAGCAGUGGCUAAAACUUGACUUUAAAAGUUUUUUCCAGAAUUUGGUCCAGAUGAAAAGUUUCUUUCACCUUGUGAACCUGGGCUGCAUCAUAUGUUGUGACUUUAAAGCUAGAAUAACCUCACUUGGUUUCCAUUUUUGAGCCAAAGGACCCAUUAACAGAAACAAAACUUUUCUUCCUCUGCACAUAUACAAGCUGGCCACACUGGUAAAUACCAGUGAAAUGUAUUUUGGGACUGACACUUGAAUUUUCUAUUGGUAUUUAUGUCACAAAAUCACCUCUCUAAGGUUUAUCACAUGGACACACACACACACACGUAUAUCAAAAUGUAUAUAUUUUGAGGUAUAAAAAGUACGUGCUCAAGGUAUCAGUCACUCCUAAAUUUGUUUUCCUUGAAACAAAAUGAAGGUAUCAAAUUUCAUGCAGGGAAUCCCGAAGUGUUAUCAUGGUGUGUUGUUGAAAUUGAUGGUCUUGGCUUAGAGAGCCUACUUUUUAAAACUCGGGGUCCUGUUUCUAAAUCAUGUGUUGAAAUUACAGUGUGAGCUGGACUUGCCGUACUCUUUGAGCCUGCAAAUGAUCGCCGUGACGACUUCCUAUCUGCUGCGAGUUCAACCCGCCCUACACUAAUACACGAACAUUACUUUUUCUUCAUGUAGAGAAGGGUGUUCACUCCUAAGCCUGAACCCACACUUCCCAGUUGUGGAGUGCACCGGCUUCCUUUACUGCUUUGGUUCUUUGUUUUCUUUUUCGUACCUAGAUGUUACUAAAUUCUGCCUUUGAGCCUAAACCAUGCUAUUGGUGUUUUUCUUUCCCACUUAUUCCAAAAGGGCCCAUAAAUCCGAGGCCAUAGCUAACUUAGAUUUAGUCAUUUUCUUGGGUAAAACAUACUCAUAUGAAAUCGUUACACUUAGGAUCUUGAAAUAUGUGAUUAGUUUCCUUUCUGAUUGUUGACAAGACUUAAACUAGUGGGAUCUUGGCAUUUAUCUUUUUAAGAACCUGGUGCUCAUUAAGGAAAGGAAAAUAUUCUGAAAUAAUCAAAAUAACCUUUUGGGCAUUGAAACUCCAUUUUGAAUUAAAAGCAUUUGUGUCUUAUGCUAAAUUAUAUCCAGGUAUUGUAAGUAAAAUUAUUUUGAAGUUACUUUGUUCUAAGAAACUAUGGAGAUUAUUGACAAUAUUAGAAAGAGUCCUUAAAUGAUAAUUAUAUAAAAAUUGAGAAUUAGUACCUUAUGACUUAACCAUUUUACACUGAAAUAUUAUCGGACAUUGAAUGUACAUGGAAAUCGCGUGGUCAAAGUAUUUGAGAAACAAAUAUCUCAAGGAAGACACCAAUUUAAAAUAUUCAAAUGAGUGUCAUCUCAUAAUUUGGUAAUCUCAUGUAAAACACUUUUGAUCGGGGUGUGUAUCUGUAUACAUACAUUUUUAAAAAUAGAUUUGUAAUCACAUACACAGUAGUGCCCCCUUAUCCAUGGUCUUUGACGUUUUUUUUUUGAGAGAGUCCUCUGUCACGCAGGCUGGAGUACAGGGGUGCAAUCUCUGCUCACUGCAUCCGCUGCCUCCCAGAUCCUAGUGAUUCUCAUGUCUCAGCCUCCUGAGUAGCUGGGAUUACAGGUGCGCAGCACCACGCCGAGCUAAUUUUAAUGUUUUUAAUAGAGACAGGGUUUCGCCAUGUUGCCCAGGCUAGUCUCGAACUCCUGAGCUCAGGCAAUCUGCCUGCCUCAGCCUCCCAAAAUGUUAGGAUUACGGCUGUGAACCAGCGUGCCAGGACGGUGUUUCACUUUUUGAGGUUUCAGUUACCUGAGGUCAACAGGCAUCUGAAAGUACUAAUUUCGAGAGAGAGUGUGUGUGAGAGGCCACAUUUAUAUAACUUUCACACAGUACGUUGUUAUAGUUGUUCUCUUAUUGUUGCUGAUCUCUUACUGUGCCUAAUGUUUAUUCUAGGUGUGUAUGUAUAGGUGAAAAUGUAGAACACACAGGGGUUUGGCACUGUCCAGUUUUUCAGGCAUCGAUGUGGGUCUUAGAACUCCUCUCCCGAGGAUAAGGGGGCUACUGUCUGUGUGAACCUGAUUAGAUCUCAUCUGGAACUUUUUUCGUCACAUGAGGUCAUCAGUUAAUGUCCUGCUUGUAUGUAGGUUUAGAGUUUAAUUGCUUUUUUGUAGCGUCAGCAUAACAAAUGAGGGUCAUACAAACUAUUGUUCAAUGACGAAGUGGUUCGAACUCAUAAUUUAAAAACUAAUAAGACAUUUUUGUUCUACUUGAGGUCUUGUAGUGUUACAUAAAGUUUGAAAAUUUGGAACUUGUUUUACUUAAAACCCAAUUAAAAUAAUUUGAUCUUUUGCUUUUGCAUUAUAUAGUGACACAGUAAGAAUUUGUAAUGAAAGACAGUCUUCUACAUAGUUUCUUUUAUCUUUUGAGACGGUGUCUCACUCUGUCACCCAGGCUGUAGUGCAGUGGCAUGAUCUCAGCUCACUGCAACCUCUGCCUCCUGGGUUCAAGUGGUUCUUCUGCCUCAGCCUUCUGAAUAGCUGGGAUUAUAGGCGUGAGCUACCCUGCCUGGCUAAUUUUGCUAAUUUUUGUAUUUUUAGUAGAGGUGGGGUUUCGCCAUGGUGGCCUAGCUGGUCUUGAACUCCUGACCUCAGGUGGUUUGCUCACCUUGGCCUCCCAAAGUGCUGGGAUAAAAGACAUUAGCCACCAUGCCCGGUGGUAUUCUACCUGUUUGUUUUCUUUAAGAGCAGAAACGUCUUUAAAUGUUUUUAUUUUUUUUCCACUAGAGGGCUCUGUUGCCCUUUGAUAUAAUUAAACAAAAGAGGUUAGCAUCGCAAUAUAGUUUUCUUCCUUCCAGUCCAUCUUGCUUUCAUUUUUGUUAAAUAAUGUCUUUUACUUUUCUAGCAUGUCUUUGAGGUCUCAUACUUCUCUGCGAUAGAGUUCAAACUGAAGACUCUUACUAGUGUCAUGUUUGUUUCUUUUCCUCUGUCUCUUGUUUUGUUUGUAUAAAAUGGCAGGGAUGAAGGGAUCACCUUAGUGAAAAGGGCCAUUGUAUUCAGGGAAGCAGGCUGUGCUGCCAUUCUGCCAAAUCACACAAGGGCAUGUGUUUUCAUGAUAUUAUUGAUUUUGAGUGUGCUGGCCUAGCAAUAAUAUGAUUUUUUUUCCCUAAGUGGAAAUUGUAAUAUUUACAUAUUAAUACCUCUGUUUAAGGUUCAUUUUCAAUGCCUUGGUGACCUUAUGUUUUUUCCUUUUUUUUUUUUUUUUGAGACGGACUCUUGCUCUGUCGGCCAGGCUGGAGUGCAGUGGCACGAUCUUGGCUCACUACAACCUCUGCCUCCAGGGGUCAAGAAGUUCUCUGCCUCAGCCUGCCGAGUAGCUGGGAUUACAGGAGUCAGCAACCAUGCCUGGCUAAUUUUUCUACUUUUAAUAGAGACGGUUUCGCCAUCUCGGCUAGACCAACCUUGAACUCCUGACCUCGUGAUUCACCCGCCUUGGCCUCCCACAGUGCUGGGAUUACAGUUGUGAGCCACCGCAUCCUCGACCCUAUGUUUUUUCUAAAGAAUAUAGUUUCCCUUGCCCCUGCCCCCGGCCUUACCCAGUGUUACAUAAUUUAUUGUAAUUAAAUUGUUUAUUAGUGGGACAUUCUUGCUCUAGAAGAAAACAUGUCCUUUUGGGCUCAGUACAGUAUGUUUUUUAAGUAAGAGGGAUCCUGUUAAACUAGCUACUCAAUGUGAAGCCGAUAGCCAGUGUUCUCCGUGUACAGUCUUAAGGAGGGUAAUUUUUAUUUUGGCUCUGUAAUUACGGUUCGAGGCAGCCCAUUAAUCGCAUACUUGAGCUGUCAAACAGAACUUUGGCCUGGAAAAGAACACACUUUGGCUUUAGAAAACUGCUUAUUUUCAAAUCUUUAAACGGGGACAGAAAAGAAUAUGCUAUAUUAUAUACUUUUAUUUAUAAUUUUUUUUUCUCAGCAACUUUUUCAAAAAUGCAAGAGCCUGAAAAACAUUGCAAAUAUAUUUGUAACAUUGCAAAACUGUUUCACCAGAGUCAAGAUGUUUUGGUUGUUUAUAUGCAAAUGUAUUUGUUUAUCAAAUAAAUUGUUAAAACUA